This 72-nucleotide transfer RNA is filed under the name Ovis aries (sheep). It matches the Rfam family "tRNA". Rfam says of the family: Transfer RNA (tRNA) molecules are approximately 80 nucleotides in length. Their secondary structure includes four short double-helical elements and three loops (D, anti-codon, and T loops). The record is from Rfam by way of RNAcentral. Lineage: Eukaryota; Metazoa; Chordata; Mammalia; Artiodactyla; Bovidae.
UCUCUAGUGGCUCAGACAGUAAAGCAUCUGCCUGGAAUGCAGGAAACCUGGGUUCGAUCCCUGGGUCGGGAA